UAUAUGUGUGUGUGUAUUUCAUAUAUAUAUAUAUAUAUAUAUAGACAUGUUGGGUAGGUGCCAUCUUUAGUUCCAUGUAACUACCAGUAUGUUUACUAAAAUUACGGAGACCAUGAAUUUUUAUUGCAUUCAACAUGCUGUUUUUCACUGCUGACCAUAGAAAUAUAUAACAUUUUGAAUUAUAAGAUAUAUUUACAUGAUCAGGUAUUAACUGACUUUUUUUCUAUAUUCUAUAUUUUUUUACCUUGUUCUUUUCUUUCUUCAUUCUCCUUUGCCUUCCUCCCUUCCCAAUGCUUUCUAGGCUUCUGUUUCAAUCACUCCCAACUUUCUAUGCUUCUGCUAUCUGUCUCACUGGUUUAUUUUUUCUAGAUUUUUCUCUUGUUUACCAAGGCACUAAAAAAUGAUAGUCAAGACUAUAUUUUAAGUUUUAUAUUUUUACUUAUAAAAUUCUGUGUAACAGUUGUUAAACUAAAAAUCUUGUUCACUGUUUUGUUUUAAACUUUUCAUUUAGUUUUCUUACUAGUUAUUUCUCGCUAUGAAGAUGCUGGUUUAAACCUGUUCGACUAGUGUUGGAUAAAUUCUGAGGAGUAACCAGUAAGAAACUUGACUGAAAAAUGAAUUAUAUGGAGAUUAAAUUUAAAAAUUAAAUUAC
Long non-coding RNA from Octopus sinensis (East Asian common octopus), 652 nucleotides. RefSeq lists it as uncharacterized. Lineage: Eukaryota; Metazoa; Mollusca; Cephalopoda; Octopoda; Octopodidae. The record is from RefSeq and is a predicted model, not a curated record. The transcript is spliced from 2 exons.